AUUGAACGCUAGCGGCAUGCUUCACACAUGCAAGUCGAACGGUAACAGGUCUUCGGAUGCUGACGAGUGGCGAACGGGUGAGUAAUGCAUCGGAACGUGCCCAGUCGUGGGGGAUAACGCAGCGAAAGCUGUGCUAAUACCGCAUACGAUCUAUGGAUGAAAGCGGGGGACCUUAGGGCCUCGCGCGAUUGGAGCGGCCGAUGUCAGAUUAGCUAGUUGGUGGGGUAAAGGCCCACCAAGGCGACGAUCUGUAGCUGGUCUGAGAGGACGACCAGCCACACUGGGACUGAGACACGGCCCAGACUCCUACGGGAGGCAGCAGUGGGGAAUUUUGGACAAUGGGCGCAAGCCUGAUCCAGCAAUGCCGCGUGCAGGAAGAAGGCCUCGG
This 388-nucleotide ribosomal RNA is filed under the name uncultured bacterium. Its description in RNAcentral is "bacterial SSU rRNA". It matches the Rfam family "Bacterial small subunit ribosomal RNA", at positions 30 to 420 of the family's 1533-position model. The record is from RNAcentral.